This is an RNA transcript of Drosophila montana, 3028 nucleotides long. It is a transcript of the gene named frizzled 4, with no coding region annotated. The transcript has 5 exons. The record is from RefSeq and is a predicted model, not a curated record. Lineage: Eukaryota; Metazoa; Arthropoda; Insecta; Diptera; Drosophilidae.
CUACAUGUUCUACCAAACGAUUCAACGCAAUAUUUACAAGUCUUAAUUUCUUGGUUUGAAUGAAGCCAAAGUAGUAAACAUUCAACUAGUGAGCUCGAGAACAGAUUUCUGCUGGCAAUUUUAAUGUUGAAAAUCAACUUUGCCAAAUACAAACGAUGUGACGAGCUGCAAACAUAAAUAAAUAUAGAUAUUUUUAACUAGUGCUGUGCCUUAAGUAAACAAACAAACCCAAAAUUGAAAAAAUCAUAAACAAGUGCAAAACUGUGCAGCAGCAAAAGGCAACAAGCAACAGGCAACAGGAAAGAAGUGUAAAAUUGUAAUUGGGCAAAAGAUAAUCUGCAUACCAAUUGUGAAAGAACAAGAACACCAAACUAGUUUGCAGCACCGACGUCGACGGCGACGGCGACGGCACGAUAACAAGAACGACGCCAAGGUAGUUAACGAGUUGACAAGGGGAGUCCAGGGGCCAGAUAGGCGGGCGGGCGGUGGCAGCGGCUGCGGCUGCGACGCAUGAGCUGCGCAAAAGAGAUAGCAUUAAGUGUGCGAGUGCGAGUGCGAGCGAACGCGAGCGCGUGGAACCAGUUCUCUUUGAAGAGGGGCGGGAGGCACUAUGCAAAGCAACUGAACAACAAGCACAAAAACAGCAGCAACAACUUGAAUCAGGAUGAACGCAAAAUGGAUGCUGGCAACAUUGCUGCUGCUUGCGCCUGCUGCAAUCGGUGGCAGCAGCACGGGCAGCGGCAUCAUCAGCAGCAGCAGCCACGCCCCGCCCGAAAUCAUCUUCCGUCAAUGCGAACCGAUACGCAUCGAGAUGUGCCGCGGCAUUGGCUACAAUGAGACCUCCAUGCCCAACCUGGUCGGUCAUGAGCUGCAAACGGAUGUGGAGUAUACGCUGCAAACGUUUGCGCCGCUCAUCGAAUACGAUUGCAGUUCCCAGCUAAAGCUUUUCCUUUGCGCCGCCUAUGUGCCCAUGUGCACGCCCAAGGCGCCGGUGCAUUCGAUUGGGCCCUGCCGCAGUCUGUGCGAAUCUGUGCGCAUACGCUGCCAUCCAGUGCUGCAGGGUUUCGGCUUUCCCUGGCCGCCUGCGCUUGACUGCGAUCGUUUUCCGCGCGAGAACAAUCACGAGACCAUGUGCAUGGAGGGGCCGGGCGAAACGCAUCUGGCCAUGCAGGAUCAUGAACUUUAUGGCCAGCAGUUGCCCGGCCUUAAAGUGGGCGCACCACUGCCGCUGGACUGCUCGACGCUGGCCAAAUCCCAUUUGUAUGUGAAACUGCAUCGUUCCGGACGCUGUGCGCCACUCUGCGAAGCAGACAUACUGUUCACGCCCAGCGAGAAACAUCUGUCCGAGAUCUGGGUAUCCACCUGGGCGUAUGCUGGCCUGGGACUCGCCUGUGUGGCCACUCUCUGCCUGGUGCUGCUCGGCGGCGAUAAUCGUGGACGAAAUGCCGGCGCCAAAUGGUCGCGUCUAUUGUCGCCGCUGCUCUGGUGCCACAACAUGGUCACCAUCGGGUGGACGGUGCGUUUCAUUGUCGGACGCACGGGCACCGCCUGCGGCACAGAUCCCCAGGCGCCCAACGAAUCUCUGCUGAGUGUCGAUGGUCUCUCCAACGCAGCCUGUGCGAGCGUCUUCCUAUUGCGCUACUACUUUGGCAUGGCUGCCUGCGCCUGGUGGGCCAUUUUAUGCCUGGGCUGGCAUCGCGAUAUACGCCGCAAUAGUCCGGACACCAAAGGUCACAUAGCUCUGCCCGCCAAACGCCAUGGCGGCAGCACCGCCCAGCAGGAUUUGGCGCGCAAUAAUUUUGUUUGCUUUGUGGCCUGGGGAUUGCCGGCGUUUCAAACGGCAGCGGUAAUUGUAAUGCGCCUCGUGGAUGCGGACGAGCUGUUGGGCGCUUGCUUUGUGGGCAAUCAAUCGGAUAAGGCGCUGCAGGUGCUGGUCGCCACGCCCGUCUUUUGCUAUUGGAUCUUUGGCUCGAUGAAUCUAAUCUCUGGCUAUUUGGUGCACUGCCGCAACAAGGAGAUCUUGCGCAACAGCAACGCGUUAAGCCUACAACAGCAACUGCAGCUGGGUGUGCACAACAGCUCUGGCAUUGGCAUCUUUUUGUUUAUCUAUGGCGCCGCCUGUGCCCUGCUGCUGCUUGCGGUCAUCUAUGAGUUUGCCAACAUUGAUGUCUGGCUAAGUCAACGGGAGACGAGCACGCCGCUUUGGCCGUAUUUAACGCGUGCUUUCAUGGAGCUUAUGCUGGGCAUUUGCUGUUUCGCCUGGGUGCUGGGUCCCAGCAUAUCCAGUAUGUACAAGCGCCAGCUGUCCAUGCGUCCGCACAAGCAGGCCGCGGGCGUGGAACGUGCCCACCAUCCACAUCAACAGCAACAGCUGCAACAGCCGCACGCCCAGCACCAUCAUCAUCAGCCAGCGCUCGACGGGCAGAGCAGCUCGCGCGGCUCGCAUAUUGCAUGCAGCAGCACUGUAGUCUCCUAUCAUUCGGUGCGUCCCUCGCAUCAGUCGUUGGUCAGCGCACCGCCGCUCAUUGGCAGCCCCUACAAGCACAAGACGCAAACGGGCGCCGGCUCCAUUUCGCUUAACCAAAUGUCCAAUUAUUCGCUGGGCCGCAGCGUACAGCAAACGCCGACGGCGCACUCCACACAUCGCCUCUACUAUGCGACGCCACAGAAGCAUCAUCAUGGCCAUCAUGCCAACUAUUCCCACUAUCCGCAGCUGCAGCGCUAUGGCAACGAGACGCUGCUGUGAGGUUGACAUGGUUUCUACAGAGACGAGUUCUUCAAGUCUGAUGCCGCACGAAAUGAAUUGCCAAUAGCUGCGGCUAUUUAACAGAACGUUCCUGCCAAGCAAGAAAUACUGUGAUACUGUGAUUCAUUUUUCAAAAGAUUUGAACAAUUCAACAAAAACCCAAUGCAAUUCGAUUGAAAAACGCAUUUUGCGAACCGAAAGUGUACUUAACUUAGAACGGAAUUCUAAACAUAAAUUGUAAUUGUAUUCAAUGUGCCAUUAGCUUAAGAAAAUACUUAAAAA